RNAcentral lists this long non-coding RNA (1103 nucleotides) under Piliocolobus tephrosceles (Ugandan red Colobus). Its description in RNAcentral is "lncRNA (ENSPTEG00000007433.1)". Lineage: Eukaryota; Metazoa; Chordata; Mammalia; Primates; Cercopithecidae. The record is from RNAcentral.
CAUUGACAUUAAUAGAAACGGUAAUAUUAAUAGCGACAUCUAUAGUAUCGACAAUAACAACAUCAGUAGUAAAGACAAUAAAAACAUCGAUGGUAAUGACAAUAGUAGCGGUAAAAGAUGGUACAGCAUACAGCAUAUUCAACUUGACCCAACUGCUUCGAAAAAUUCAAGUAAUACUUCUUUUCAUGAAAUGUGUCAAAAAAAUAAUGCAAAUAAGUAUGUCGAAAAUAAUUCACUAUCAAAAAAAAAAGAAAAAUGUACAACUUAUUUAAAAGGUAGCAUUACAAGUGAAAACAAAUGUAGUUUGAGUAAAAAAAAAAAUAUGAACAAAGCUUUGAGUUCACAUAAGCUAGACGAUGCGCAUACUAAUGAUGGGUUUAAAAAAAUAAAUGAAAUUAUAAAAAGUGAAAAAGGUACUAACAGUCUAAAUGCUUUAAAUUUUAAUAACAAAUUAACUUUUAUGGCUUUGUCAAAUUCAAGUAGUGUUGAUAAAAACAGAAUAAAUGUGAGUAAAUCUGGUAGUAUGAAUGCGAAUAAUAAUAGUGCGAACAUGAACGGUGUCCGUAAUCGUAGGAUACUAUCAUCAUAUUCGAUGUAUAAGAAAGCUCCUUCGGAAGUAAAACCUAAAUCGUCACAACUUACACACCUGAAAGUUAACUCAAACAAUAAAGAAUAUAAUACAAAUGACAAAGUAAAUAAAAAUAUAACAGACAGCAAAGGACUAAAUGAUAAUAGUAAAAAUAUUAAAAAAAAAAUGAGUCUAGCUGAUAAUGUCAGAAACAUGUAUAAUUUAAAAAAGGGAGAAGAAAAAGAAGACACACUAUCGAAGUUUUACACAAAUAAUAAAAACAGUAAAGACGAACUAGUUAAUAAAUAUAAAAAGGAAGUACUAAAAAAUGCAAAAAAUGUAAUAAGUUAUGGUAACAACAACAGCAGCGGUGACAAUAACAGACAUAAUUUAGUAAUCCAAAGAAAAGUGCCAUUAAAAACUUAUCUUAAAGAAAAUAAUAUGAUAAUGAAAAGUAAAACAAACAAUAUUUUAGCAUCACUGAAAAAAAACAUAGCAAAUAAUAAGCAAGAUAAAGCGCAACUAAGUAAAGCCA